Molecule: long non-coding RNA, 1698 nt
Filed under: Malus domestica (apple)
Lineage: Eukaryota; Viridiplantae; Streptophyta; Magnoliopsida; Rosales; Rosaceae
Description: long non-coding RNA (MDOM_LNC005068)
Source: RNAcentral
AAAGUUCUUGUUUCCAACCAAAUAUCGUGUGAGCAGAGAAUUGUGAAAAGGAAACUCUCAUCCCCAACCAGAUCCUUUGAUUUAAGAUGAAGCUUAAAUCAUAAAAUUUAAGAAGGUAAAGAUCGACAUACGCAUUAUACACAAACAUUAAAUUCAACAGGAAACAAAGUCAGAAAGCUCUGUAUGAAUUUCCACCGGAAACAAUUAAGAACUGAGUUGCAGGGACCAUAUGGCAAACUUUUUUACCCAGAAAUUGAGACAAAUUAUGUGGAGCAAAAAAUAUUCACAAGGCGACACGUGGGUUUUUUGGACAAAAAGGAUAAAAAUAUCCUUGCAGUACAACGAGGUUCCUACGCGCAAGCAGCGGGCAACCCUCUUUCACCAAGACAGAAGUGCCCAAAAUAGGUAACAAUUCAAAGUCCAUCUCAUCAAAUCCUUUCUACAAGGUAAUUCCCAAACACAUUCCUUUUAAAUUAUGUUAAUUGGCUAAUUAAUGGGUUUAUUGCCUAAUUAACCCAUUAAUUCUCAAUUAAACCAUCCAUUAUAUCCAAAUAACCACAAAUACAAACCAAUUCAACCCUAAAAACAUCACAUGGCCGGCCAUCCCCUUAAGCUUUCUACCUUCCCUAUCUUUCCCACUUUACUACCCCAAUUAAGCUAGCUAAUUGAUUCUAUAACCAUCCAUUUAUUCCCUUUAUGUUUAAUUAGCAAAUUUAUCAUAAUAAAUUGGCUAAUUAAACCUAAAUUAAACCUAAAAACCCUAGCCACCUCCUAUCCCUAUAAAUAUACUCCCAUUCUCACCAAAAAGCUAAGUCCAACACUUUGGCAAAAAUCCCAAAAUUCUCUAAACACUCUUUCUCUCUAAAUUCUAACUUUGGCAUCGGAGGUUCUUCGGCCAAAGCUCCCCCCAUUCAUCGUGGGCGCGUGAGGCUCUUGGCCUUAACCUAAGGUGUUAAUUGUUUUGUAGGUGCAAAAUCGUCCAAGAUCGAGGAGGAAGAAAUUUGCAACCACAAAUUAUAUGUUCAAAAUUAGGGUGCUCGGUGGGAGAAAAAAAUGAGUUUGAACAAUUUGUCCGUGAAUAUAUAAUUAUAUUGACCAAAAAAAGACAACAAUUUGUCCAUAUAGCAACGCUAUCAUAAGCCAAAAAUAAAAAAAAGAAAGCCCUACUAUAAUAUUCAUAAGGUAACUAAUCUCAAACUAAGUAGUAAAAACCAGGAAAUUAAUUGAAAAUUGGACGUCACUGUCUUGUUUGAAAGGAGCUCCUAACUGAACAAAUCGGAAAUUGGACAAUCGUCGUCACUAGUCGCGAAGCCACGUGAGGGUGAGGAGUGGCGGCCGCCACUCCCCUCGCCGGAAAACUGGACUGGAUAUCUGGGUCAGCCCCUCCUCUUGCCGGAACUGAAGCCCAGGAGGAACAAUUCGCCCCUCUGUUCUCGUUCAAAAACCUACCCCCUCCUAAUCAGUCACAAAAUCGAAAAGCACAAUAGGAGGAUGCCUAGGUGGGACUAGAAGGGAUUAGGCAGAGCUAUGCGGAAUCUGAAUUUUUUUUUUUUGCAGAGCCGGCUGCGAGGAAGCAGAUGACUUUGGUCUCAUUAUUGCCCGGUUCAUUUGAGAUGGUCCCACCAUCUUUUUAAUUGCUACGCGUUUUCCUUUAAAUAGUCCGCCAUCUUAUUUCUACUUCUUUUUAUUUCCUUUUAU